This is a microRNA precursor of Oryza sativa Japonica Group (Japanese rice), 208 nucleotides long. It matches the Rfam family "MIR812 microRNA precursor family". The record is from Rfam. NCBI's taxonomy places the organism in Eukaryota, Viridiplantae, Streptophyta, Magnoliopsida, Poales, Poaceae.
AAAAAGACAAACUCUGGGUUUCCGUGUCCAACGUUUGACUGUCCGUAUUAUAUGAAAUUUUUUUAUAAUUAGUAUUUUCAUCGUUGUUAGAUGAUAAAACAUGAUUAAUACUUUAUGCGUGACUUGUCUUUUAAAUUUUUUUUUAUAAUUUUUUAAAAUAAGACGGACAGUCAAACGUAGGACAUGGAAAUUUAGGGUUUGUCUUUUU